GGACGGGUGAGUAACACGUAGGCAACCUGCCUGUAAGAUCGGGAUAACUAUCGGAAACGAUAGCUAAGACCGGAUAACUAACCGGAUCGCAUGAUGCGGUUAUGAAACACGGCGCAAGCUGUGGCUUACAGAUGGGCCUGCGGCGCAUUAGCUAGUUGGUGGGGUAACGGCCCACCAAGGCGACGAUGCGUAGCCGACCUGAGAGGGUGAUCGGCCACACUGGGACUGAGACACGGCCCAGACUCCUACGGGAGGCAGCA
RNAcentral lists this ribosomal RNA (260 nucleotides) under uncultured bacterium. RNAcentral's name for it is "partial 16S ribosomal RNA". It matches the Rfam family "Bacterial small subunit ribosomal RNA", at positions 100 to 353 of the family's 1533-position model. The record is from RNAcentral.